GAUCCUGGCUCAGGAUGAACGCUAGCUACAGGCUUAACACAUGCAAGUCGAGGGGCAUCAUGAUCUAAGCUUGCUUAGAUUGAUGGCGACCGGCGCACGGGUGAGUAACGCGUAUCCAACCUUCCCUAUAGUAGAGGAUAGCCCGGCGAAAGUCGGAUUAAUACUCUAUGUUUUCCAAUGCAGACAUCUAAGUUGGAACAAAGGUUCACCGCUAUAGGAUGGGGAUGCGUCUGAUUAGAUAGUAGGCGGGGUAACGGCCCACCUAGUCGACGACCAGUAGGGGUUCUGAGAGGAAGGUCCCCCACAUUGGAACUGAGACACGGUCCAAACUCCUACGGGAGGCAGCAGUGAGGAAUAUUGGUCAAUGGGCGAGAGCCUGAACCAGCCAAGUAAGCGUGCAGGAUGACGGCCCUAUGGGUUGUAAACUGCUUUUAUCGGGGGAUAAAGUGAGGGACGUGUCCCUUAUUGUAGGUACCCGAUGAAUAAGGACCGGCUAAUUCCGUGCCAGCCGCGGC
Molecule: ribosomal RNA, 515 nt
Filed under: uncultured bacterium
Lineage: Bacteria
Description: bacterial SSU rRNA
Rfam family: Bacterial small subunit ribosomal RNA
Source: RNAcentral